AGUUUGAUCAUGGCUCAGAGUGAACGCUGGCGGCGUGCUUAACACAUGCAAGUCGAACGGUAACAGAAAGAAGCUUGCUUCUUUGCUGACGAGUGGCGCACGGGUGAGUAAUGUAUAGUUAAUCUGCCUCUUAGAGAGGGAUAGCCACUGGAAACGGUGAUUAAUACCUCAUACUCCUAAUUCCGUAAUGGGAUUAGGGAAAGUUUUUCGCUAAGAGAUGAGACUAUAUUGUAUCAGGUAGUUGGUAGGGUAAUGGCCUACCAAGCCUAUGACACAUAGCUGGUCUGAGAGGAUGAUCAGCCACACUGGUACUGAGACACGGACCAGACUCCUACGGGAGGCAGCAGUGGGGAAUAUUGCACAAUGGAGGAAACUCUGAUGCAGCAACGCCGCGUGGAGGAUGACGCAUUUCGGUGUGUAAACUCCUUUUAUAUGGGAAGAUAAUGACGGUACCAUAUGAAUAAGCACCGGCUAACUCCGUGCCAGCAGCCGCGGUAAUACGGAGGGUGCAAGCGUUACUCGGAAUCACUGGGCGUAAAGCGCGCGCAGGCGGCUUUGAAAGUCAGAUGUGAAAGCCUAUGGCUCAACCAUAGAACUGCAUUUGAAACUUUAAAGCUAGAGUCUGGGAGAGGAAGAUGGAAUUAGUUGUGUAGGGGCAAAAUCCGUAGAGAUAACUAGGAAUACCAAAAGCGAAGGCGAUCUUCUGGAACAGUACUGACGCUGAGGCGCGAAAGCGUGGGGAGCAAACAGGAUUAGAUACCCUGGUAGUCCACGCCCUAAACGAUGAAUGUUAGUCGUUGGGAGGCUAGUCCUUUCAGUGAUGCAGC
Molecule: ribosomal RNA, 827 nt
Filed under: uncultured Campylobacterota bacterium
Lineage: Bacteria; Pseudomonadati; Campylobacterota
Description: bacterial SSU rRNA
Rfam family: Bacterial small subunit ribosomal RNA
Source: RNAcentral